Molecule: ribosomal RNA, 162 nt
Filed under: uncultured bacterium
Lineage: Bacteria
Description: partial 16S ribosomal RNA
Source: RNAcentral
AGAUCCAUGGCGCAGCUGAUCAGCCAUGCCGCGUGAGUGAUGAAGGCCCUAGGGUUUGAAAACUGCUUUUGCAGGGGAGAAAACGCCUGUAUUUAUGGGGGUAUGACCGGACAAUACCAAUAAACAACCCCUAACUCUGUGCCAGCAGCCGCGGUAAUGUAA